This is a long non-coding RNA of Clarias gariepinus (North African catfish), 501 nucleotides long. RefSeq lists it as uncharacterized. The record is from RefSeq and is a predicted model, not a curated record. Lineage: Eukaryota; Metazoa; Chordata; Actinopteri; Siluriformes; Clariidae. The transcript has 3 exons.
UGUUGUUGAUGAUUAGUUUGGCUGGAUUGAGUUGUCUAGGAUUAUUGCGCGUUCGUGCGUUGGUUUAAAAGGCGAUAUGCAUCAACAGUAGAAACACUGAUCACAACCCCUUUGAUUGGUUGACGAAAUGGCAAAAGAGCGAGCGCAUUUUUUUUCUCAAGCAGAGCAAGAGCUUUUAUUAGAAGGUUACGGGGAAUUCCAAACUUUAAUAAAGACUCCGGGAAACACAUCAAAUGCUGCAAAAGCCAGAAGAGAGGGCUGGCAAAAAGUAGCGAAUAAAUUAAAUGCAGCCAGCAGUGGACCCAUGCGAACAUGAGAACAAGUAAAAGUAAAGUACAAGAACAUCUUACAAAAUGCAACCAAGAAAAAGGCGGAACAGAAAAAAACAGGUGGUGGUCCGGCCCCCUCUCCCUAUACUCCAGCAGAAGAGCUAGCCCUGGAUUUUAAUAGUAAGAGACCAAUUGUGGAGGGCAUCCCUGGGGGUAGCACCUCCUUAGACCC